GCCCGGCUAGCUCAAUCGGUAGAGCGUGGGACUUUUAAUCCCAAGGUUGCGGGUUCGAGACCCGCGUGGGGCG
Molecule: non-coding RNA, 73 nt
Organism: Podospora conica
Lineage: Eukaryota; Fungi; Ascomycota; Sordariomycetes; Sordariales; Podosporaceae
Source: the annotation of a GenBank genome assembly